UAGUUUAAAAAAUAUAUACAUUAGACAAGACUAUUGGCAAAUGUACAACAGUGGCACCUGUUUAAACCAGAUACUACCGUCUUACCAUAGACUAAUUUCAAGACUUCGAUGUACCAUGUUACGUUUAGUUUUGAUUUGCCACAUAAGCCAGACAUUUGACCGAUUAGUAGAUAAGAAUACACCAAAUAGCAAUAUAGAAAAUGUUCCACGCGCGACCAGUUGAGCACCCAUGCCAGAAAGCUCAAUGAUUCUGCCCGUCGAUGACUCCGUUCGGCGAUGAUCCCGUCCGUCGAUCGCCCAGAACGACGACAGGUAGCAAGCUUCAAUACACACAGAUUAAAACAAGACGAUCAUCCCAGAAAGAAGAGCGAACGAAAGCUCGCUCGACGAAGUUUGCACUACACCAAAUAUACUAUAUUAACAAUAUAGGUCACUCUUACGAUUUUUUGGCGACACCUUUUUAGUGAAUGUGGUGCCACCAAGCGUCAGAAGAGGUAGGGGAUUCUGGGGUAAUACGCACCACUUAAGGAAGAUGCGUCAAAAUGCAUAUAAAAAGGCAAUAAUUUAUUGGUUUAAUGCAUGCAUUCAUUGCAUAUACUUUCAUUCUAAGAGAAACCAAACAAAAUUUCAGCCUCAAUACAGUUCAACUCUUGAAAGUAACGUUUUUUGUAAAGACCAACAUUACGGCUUCGUAUGUUUAUGCGGGGCAGUAUGCACCCUUGCUCGGGGUAAAAUGCACUACAACAAUGGGGCAGGAUGCACUCAAACAAAGGGGCAAGACGCACCACAACAUUGAGGCAAGAUGUACCAUCGAGUUUAGAAAUCUUUUUACUUCUUAGACAAAAUGCAUGUUUUAUAAGGUUUUAAGAUAAACAAUAGCUCAAUUUUGUUUGCGAUUACUUACAGAGCACUCAUAGAUAUUAUUACAGCUUGUUUUCUCUAGGUGCGUUUUGCCCCAACCAAUGGAGUGCAUAUUGCCCCAAUCAAUAGCAAAAAAUAAAAUAGUUUAAAACAUAUAAUUUACGUAGACUACUGUUUAAGUUAUUUUUCCUAUGCUUAGCAUUGCCCUCAAUGAACUGAACAAACACAACAGCAUGAGAUGUUUGGCCGGUUUUCGCCAUCAAAUCAUUCGACAAACGAUCGGGAAAAUUACAUCAGAAUCGUGCUUUUCAAUUUUAUUCAUUUUUCUCACUAAUUACGUAACGCAGAUAUGUAAAAUUUUCCAGAUGCUCAUUUAUUAAGACGUUCUAUUAGACUGAUAAGGUUUCAAAUCUCUAAAACCGAUAAUCCCUGAAAAACAAAGGGGAUGCGUUUUGCCUCGACAGUGCGUAUUACCCCAGAUGCCCCUACUGCUACACACUAAAUGCAUGCGCUAUCCGAAUGACGUUUAUUCUGUCGAACUGUCAUUGCAUGAUGGGGAUGCCCAUUUCUUCUGAAAUAAUCGAUUAACAUUAAUCGAUUUUUUUUCAACUACUCAAAUUAGAACAAAUUUAAGGCUUUUUACGACAUCAUCAGAAUCGGCAUCCAUGUUGGAUAUGUGGCUUGAAAUUUCAAAGUGAUACUUUUCUGCAACCAUAGCGAAUAUUUGUAUGAAAAAGUAUCAUCCUAUAUGCUCACUCGCAGUGAUUACGAUGAUACUUUUUCAGCUGCGUUGCUGCAGAACUGGUAGUUUUUUGUCACUUCAAAAACGCGAGGCAAACAAAAGCAAAAAGUCAAUGAUUCGUUUGAAAACUUGGUGAUGCAUCAGUACACCUUAAUUAUCUCUUCUUAAACAAUUUUUGGCGUAUAUGACACAUUCCACGCACUUCUGCGCCAAGGGUGUCAAAUUUCAAAGUGAUUGUUUUGCCCCAAACUUUCCAGCAUAUUACUUAAAAUUUGACUGGUAACGUAUUUAAAUAGCUAGGUGAAGUAAUAGCAUUUUGUGUAAGAAAAAUGAAAUUUUUCAUUGAUAAUUGUCAAAUAUGCCUGCUCGCAUGUUAAAGUUCGCAAACAUUGCACCUAUUUUUUGUUAAUGUAGUAUAAUAUUGUAUAUUUUAUAGACCGAAAAAAAAAAACUUUCCAUAAAAAUGGGUUUUGAUAUGUUUUAAGCACUUUUUGCAAUAGCCGCAAUUUGAUGAUGUCCCGUUACGAAAAUAGCACAUUUGUUGUAAUAACGAAUUUAUUACGAACUUUAGAAAAAUGAUUUUCAGAAUUCUCUUAGUACUCGUGGAGACCUUUCUUCCAACAUAUGGGUACCCUUGAUCGACGCGUUACCUUAGGCGUUACAAUGGGUACCUAGAAAUGGUGUCCCGUUACGGAAAUUUUAAAGACAUUAUUUAGUGCACAGAAAAAAUCUUGCGGUAACUACUACUACUAUACUAUAAAACUUUGUUCAAAUUUACUAUGGCCCAUUGUGUUGAAAACAACAAAGAAAUCAAUCAGUAUAACCAAAUUAUGGUUGUAAAUACUAUGGCUUUUCCGAAAUCAGCAAUAGUAAUGUGGACUACACGUCAUAGUUAAAUUUACUACAUGGAAUAUACUGUGUUUGUGGUAGCAAUAACCAUGUGCGUUACUGUCAUCAAAAUUGUCGCUCCAUUUUUACCAUGUUCAUAGUUGUCUCAAGCGUUCCGCAUCGACAAAUUUCAGUUGAUCAUGUUUUGCGCUUGAUUUUACUACAAGCAUGGUAAUAUCGUUUAGAACCUCAUAACCGAGGCAGCGCCAUGUUGAUUUGAGAAAAUUCCCAAUUUCGGUCGCAAUCGCAAUUGAAACUGUUUACCUACUGAAUAAAACGAAGUUUUUCUACAAAAAAAAACAUAAAUAAACUAUUUCCUAAGUUUAAAAAGUGCUAAAAUGUUGCAAGUAAGUCCAUAUUUAUUAUGUGCGUGAAAGCAAUCCGUAGUUAUUUAUUAUAUUGCUUGCAGGAGAGGAUCACGGCCCGCUGGAGCAGAACCAAGUCAGACCAGCAGCCGACAGAGUUCCUGACAUGCAGAAUCUGUAGUCCAAUUAUGUGAACUACGGUUCUCUAAACACAGGCGAAAUCAGCGACUAUCAGAACCAGAUGAUUAAUUUGAACAAUCCUAGGUAGCGGUGGGCUGAAGUGCAAGCUGGCCGUGAUGGGCUUCCGUGGCAUUCAGUCUCUGUUCCGUUGUGCGGACACUGGAAAACCGAUGCUGGAUUACGAAGAGGAGCCUCAAAGUGAUGGUCGAUUUUGCAAAUUAGGUUUUCUAAUGGUAAACAGGAAAUAAAUUAUGAUUGACUACAAGUUUUUAUUCUAGGAAUAUAAUUCAUGCUCUACCUGUUAAAAUAGAAGACAAAGUGUACUAAAUAAGUAUAAUUCUAUGUUAAUGUUUCAAAGUCAACAUAGAAAUAUGCUUAUUGAAUAUACUUGUUUUCUAUUUUAACAAGUGGGGCAUGUACUCUAUUUGACUACGACAUCCAGUACAUGACAGUGAAAAAGACAUCAAACAUAGUUAAAUCUACUAUGUUUACAGUAUACCAUGCAAACACAUUGUUUGUUAAUUUUACUAUUUCUGUAGUAAAAAAGUACUAUAAACAUGGUAAAAGUAACUGGAACCGUGAAAAUUCAAACAUGGUAAAUCAUACCAUGGUGACCACUAAUGCAGUUGGAAUAAUCGUGUUCAAUAGUCUGCUGAAAAACGUAGGUACAUUGCGUUUAAUUUAACCCCCUGAAAUAGUAUUUUCGACCGCAAUAUUGUUUUGCGUGUGAAUAAAUAAGUUUGGUUUGAUCAAAUAUUUAAUCAAAAAACUGUAACUAUGAUGAAAUGAUAUUAUAGGGUGUAUAUAUUUCCAUUAUCCUUCUUGGUGUAACGGCGAGUUCAAAACUAACAUAGUAUAGAAGAAAAAUCCUCUUAAAAAUGUAAAAUUUAUUUCAAAUGAAAUUGACUCCUUUAUUCCCAAGGCGCAUGAGCCUUCAAAAAAGGAUUAAAGCAACAUGCGACAAAUGCUUGAAAAGACUGUGUUGGAAGAAUGGCUAAAGUGAUUAUUUCGUGUGUGUUGUGUUUUAGAGGCUCCCGCGGAACUUGCUCCAGGUGUUACGGAGCGGCCAUAUCAGUUGAUACAUACUUACCUACGUCAAUUUUUUCUAUUCCAUUCUUUCGAAAUCAUGUAGAUUGAUACGUCACUCGGCAUGUUUUGGUUGCAAACCAGAAAUGUUCCCGAUGACAUCCCCGUGGAACCUGUGCUAUAUGUUCCGGGGUGGCCAUAUUAGUUGAUACAUACUUAAGUCAAUUUUUUCUAUUCCAUUCUUUCGAAAUCAUGAAUAUUGAUAUGUCACACGGCAUGUUUAGGUUCAAAACCAGAAGUGACCCCAAUGAGGCACCGCGGAACCUGUCACGGGGAUCCGGAUGGGUCAACUUAUUCAAAUCUAUUAUCGCAGUUGUGUUUCACUGUUCGCAACAAAAAUUUCGCUGAAAAUCGAUGGUUCAAACACAACAACACACGAAAUAAUCACUUUUAGCCAUUUUGACAACCCCCUGACCCCAGCACAAAUGGUUCCGGAUAUUGCAUGGCCACUUGAGUAUAAUAAACUAGCACCAAUUUACGAUUAAUUAAGGGCGACUUCAAAAAAAUCGGAUAAAAAUUGACGAAGUGUUAGUGUUGGGAUGAAAAUGCUCUGUGAAACUGGCAACACGGGCCAAAUAGCAGUUAGCGAAAAAAGCUGUUGAUAGGAGGUCGCAUCUUUUAAUAGCGCGGAAUAGAAUACUGAAAUGUAUGUAUAUAAUGAAUAAGUAAGAUUAAUAAAAUAAAUUGAAUUACAGCAUUGAAGCUGCUUUCAAUCUUUGGUGUAUCGCGCAAAAGAUGAUUUGUCUCCGCAACAAACUUCAAUGAUUUUAUGGUCGCGAAGUGAGUGCACCAUGGAUCCAGUGCAAAGUCUUUUCCAUAUGUUUUAUGAGGAAGAAGCACGUCGAAUCGAUGAAGAAUAUGAACGUGAUAUUGCUGAAAUAGAUGCGAAAUUUGAGGAAGCUGCGAGAAAAAAUCAGUUGGAUUUCCUCGAACAGAAGGAGGCAAUUAUAAGGCAAUUUGGUGGCGUUAACCCAUGUGAAAUAUUGGAAUCUUCGCCUAAUCCAGUCUGUACAGCUGAUCAUGAAAGCAGUAAACCAAUCACCCAUCAUCCAGAACCAUCACGUCAAAUGAAUCAUGCCGAGGUUUAUGAAGAAGAACACAAUUUCAAGCAAAAAAAAUAAUUAGACCUAUUUACCAGUUUCACGGGUGGGAGUGUUGGGAUGAAAAUGCUCUGUGAAACUGGCAACACGGGCCAAAUAGCAGUUAGCGAAAAAAGCUGUUGAUAGGAGGUCGCAUCUUUUAAUAGCGCGGAAUAGAAUACUAAAAUGUAUGUAUAUAAUGAAUAAGUAAUAGACUAAAAUUAAUGAAAUGAAUUGAAUUACAGCAUUGAAGCUGCACAUUAUGAAAGCUGCUUUCAAUCUUUGGUGUUUCGCGUAAAAGAUGAUUUGUCUCCGCAACAGUUAGCAUUUUGAAAAUGAGUUGUCAGGGGUCGGAUACGUGAAGGUUAAAUAAACCUCGAAACAGUUUCCCCAUUGCCCAUUCCGAAGGCCACCAUAGGGCCGGAGCGGGUUCGAAGGCCUAUUUGUGUCCUGCCGGACAGCUACCAUCUGUCUGAAAAACAUUGCCGAAGACACCAACAUUCUAUCUAGCAAAGCAUUUGAUCUAGAUGUCUUUAGCCGUAACGGGACACCAUUUGCAAAACACUGUUUUCUCGCGAGCGUAACGCUGCGCUCACAAAACUAAAUCAAGAAUAUUUCUUAAACUAUACAUUUCGCAGUAAAACUCACUUCGGCAAUCUUGUUCACAUCAAUCCAAAGAAGAAAUGUCUAGAAGACUAUAUUAUUCAAAACCUCAUAACAGAGCUGAUAUACGCAUUUCAGUUUGAAAAUUUUAAAAAGAAGAUUUCUGCGAUGGUGUCCCGUUACGAAAUGUAACAUGUUAUAUAAUGUAAAUUGGAACCAAACCCCCAUAGAACAAGUAUUGCAUCAGGAAGUACAUCUAAUAAGCUUGUUAUAAAUCCUGUUAAACCAUAUGGUCAUGAACAUUAUAUUUGAUUGCAGACGUCAUUUGUUCACGGAAGUUAGCUCCUCGUGGUGUCCCGUUACGCUGGAAUGUGUCAUAUUAUCGUUGCAGCACCAAAUCGAAGUCGCGACUCGCGACAUGCGAAAUAACUUUAACCCUUUGGAGCCGGAGGGGUCAUAUAUGACCCCGGCGAUGAAAUCGAGCAUAGCAAACGUGUUCCACACCAGCGAGGUUGCGUCGACAGCGGCGAAAAAAAUCGGCUCCAAAAGGUUAAACUGAUAAACGUACAUAACAGACUAAAACACAGAAGACCCUAAACGUGCUCUCCGUUAGCGAGUUAUGAACGGUAUUUUCCCCUUAAAUUACACAAGAAUUUUCUUGUGGGAUCCCUUUAAGAAGUGCACUCUGGAUUGUUUUUCUCCAAGAUUCCUACAGAAGCUCUUGGGGGAUUCCUCCUAGAAAUAAUUCUGGAAUUAUUUUAGGAACUCCUUUCGGGAUUGCUUAGGGAGAGCGUUCCAGCGUUCCUCCUCUAUCCUCCAACAUUUUUUUAAAUCAAAUUUCUCCAGCAGUUUAAAAAAAAACCUCCAGAUAUUCGUUCUGGUUUUUUUUCCAAAAGUUCCUUCUGGGAUUACAUAUCUCUUUCGGGACGAACCAGCACAAUCGUGCUGUUUUUCGGCAUUGGUUUUAUACAUUUUUUUCAAUUGUUUUUUCCUCAAAAUAUGUGAUGUAAAUAUUUUUUAUGAUCGAGUUAUUACUCUUACUUGUAUUUCUGGGCCUCAGAUUUGGUUGGAAUUGUUUAUGAAAAACGCCACAAAAAGUUAAACGAAAAGUAAACAAUCACCCUAGAAGUUGAAAAAGUUUUAUCUGUCGUAUUUUUAUAAAUAUUUGUUUAAUCCAGGUAUGCAGACAUAAAAAUCGAUAAAAAAGAGUAGUUCUGCAAAACGGCGAAAAAAAGUGAUGCAUUAUUGAAAAGCACGAGAUCUCUGGGUGGUCAAAGUGGGACCAGCACAAUUGUGCUGUUCCGUCCCCAAGGCGGUCCAAGUUCCAUCGGAAAUUGCCUAUUCUUAGGCGUUUUAUGGUAUAGAAGAUUGAGUUUAAUUAUUAAAUCACUACAAAGUAAUAGUUUGUAAAAACUUAGACGUAUAAUUUCAUUUCAAGGAUCACUAUAUCAGCUUGUACGAGUUUUUUUUAAAGAACUUUGAAUACUUGGGUGAAUAAUAUUACUCCAUAUUAUCGAAAUCAUGAAUUUGAUUGGAACAGGGAUUUACUGUUCUUAUUAUCUUCUUCUUAUUCACUUCUAUGAUUAGAAUACCCUUUCAAGCUGAUCUUGUGUUCCUAGAUUUGAAAUUAUACGUCUAAAUUUCUACAAACUAACACUUUGCAGUGAUUUAAUAAUUACAAUAAAUCUUUUGUACCAUAAAACGCCUAAAAGUAGGCAAUUUUCAGCAAUUACUUAGAGAACAUCGACCGGCUUGAGGACGGACCAGCACAGUUGUGAUGGUCCUAAUUUAACCCCAAAAAGUGCAUAGGUGGAUAAAGUAGCCGAAGUAAAAAAAAAAUAUUCUAGAGGACGUUAAGUUUAUAAGAGAAAAUUUAAGAUAAUCAUUCUUAUAUGAUCCGUCACGAAAUGGAUAUCUCCAUGAAUGAAACGCAAUCAGUGAAGUACUAGAUUUGUAGUAAUAAGCUGAAUUUUUGUAUAAUGAAAAAGUAAAAUGGUAACUGCAAUAAUGGUAUUGUCGUCGCGGUUCAAACCCGAAGAUUCCCGACACCCGACAAUCGAAUUUUCUCAUAAUCCAUACGUAAAACCUUACGUCGGGCGUAGUACGCUGGGCAGUGGAUCUGGAACUCUAUCCAGCGCACAUUGCCCGGCGUGCGUCCGACAUACGGUUUGGGAGAAAAAUCAAUUUUCGCGAGUCAAAAAUUCCGAUUUUCAACUGCACGAACAAUAAUAAAAAAGCAAGAGUUUUAUGACUGCUAGACUGAUUUGAUGUUGUUUGAGUAAAACUUUGGGUAACUGUGUUGUUGUAUUCUAAUUUAUUGCAAUUUCAACAACAUAGUUCCCCAAAGUUUUGCUGAGGCAGCAUCACCGUUUCAAUGCAGUAACGGAGAGUUUAGCAUCUCACCAUACAAAAAACCAACUCAUUACUACAAAUCUAGUAUUCACUUAUUCCUUCUGGGAAUCCCCGAUAAAGUACUUCUGAAGACAUUCCAAAUUUAUAGAAAUCUCGGAAGGAAUCACAAAAAUAAUUCUUGGAGGAUUUCUGAUACUCCAAAGAGAAAACUUCUGAAGUAAUCCUGGAAAGAUCCCUCGAAAAAUAUUAAUUAAAUUGUUCAUAUAAAAUCGCGUUGGAGAUUUACAGAGUCACUUCAUCUCAGAAGACCUUGUGGAAAUCCUUAAAGGACGGAGUGAAUUCCAGAAGGAACUUUUGGAGGAAUACUGGUAUAAAUCCCUGUUGAAAUUCCCAGAAGGAGGAAUUUUUGAAGGAACUCUUGGAUAAAUCACUGAAACAACUCCUGGUCGUUCUUGGAAAAUUUUGGAGGAAUUCAAGAAGAAACUCCGGGAGGUAUUCGUAAAAAAAAACUCCUGAGGGAAUCUUUGAAGGAGCUUCUGCAGGAAUCCAAGAAACUCCUAUAAGGAACUUCUUAACAAAUCCAAGAAGAGAAUUCUUGAGAAUUCCUAGAAUUAAUUUGUUCCCUUAACGCUAGAACUAGGUAACUCGAAAAUUGACGUUUUUAAGUUGAAUAUACCAUUAUAUCGAGCUUUUUGAGCUCUUUAAUAUACCCAAAGACCAAUGAAAUACGAUUAUAAACGACGAAAAUAUUCACCAUUUUCAAAACUAGGUAUCUCAGUGUAGAAUACAAGAACUGAGUGCUAUAACUAGGUAACUAAGAAAAUCAUAUCUAUUUCCAACCGCACGGGUUAAAAGCUAUCGGACGUGGAGAUGUUACUAGUCAUUCUUUUGUUAGUAGAUUGAAAAUCUACUACUGUUUUUCAUGUUAGGCCUAAAAACUUAAAAUAUUUUACUUGUUUCGAUUUAGCUAAAAACUGUGAUUGUUCGUAGACGAUCAUUUUAUGAACAUUUUGAGGAGUCAUGUGGUGAUAAAGCAGGCAUUCUUGCAAAUUCAGUAAUUAGACGUAAAUUUCAAUAUGUGAAUCCUUAUAAAUUUGCAAACUGCAACAGAAAAAUUGAAAAAAUGACAUCAAUAGUGGUAAAAACUAGGUAUCUCAGAACAUCUUCUUAAUUAUUUAUGUUGCAUUUUGAGUGCUAUAACUAGGUAACUCGGCAAUUUUAGAACCAUUUAUUGUUUUUAUCAAAGGUUUAAACCAAAAUAGUUCAAAACUUUUUCUUGAAACAGAAAAAGUAGAAGCUGAAUAAGCAAUCAAUGCUAAAGAACAAUUAUUUUAAAGGUUCCAUACCUUUGGAACAACUGCAUGUAAAAUUGUGAAAUUUUCAAAGUCGUUUUUCUCGAAACUAUGAUUUUUGAGUUACCUAGUUCUAGCAUUAAGGGGACGAAUUCUUGAAGGAACAUCAGAAGAAAUUGCUGGAGUAAUUUCAGUAGGAACUUCUGGGGGUCCCUCGAAGAACCUCUGGAGAAAUUUCAGAAAAAAAAAACUUUAAAUCAAUCUCUGAAGGCACUCUUGGAUGAACUUCAAAAAGAACUCCUGAAUGAGUCUCUGGAAAAAAAAACUCUAGGAGGAAACCAAGUGGAAUGACAUUUCCUUUUUUUAAUUGGAAAAUCCGCAUUUCAGGCCAAACAUUUCAAUAGGUCCUAUCUGCAUUUGAGAGGCUUUUUGUCCACUUUCUUUUUCAGUUAUUGCAAUAUAAUGGUACAUUUUUUAACUGUUUUUGCAGUACAAAUCAAAAGACGAUUGUUUUGACCCGAUGGUCACGAUUUCAAUGCAAGGAGACAAUCUUAACCUUCCUUUUGCAUCACGUUGGUAGCAGCUCGCUGACGUAGUGUACGGUUUGGGUCAAAAAUGACCCUAAUGCCAAAGGAGGGUUAAUUCAAAUAAACAGCUGAGUUAUUAACGGAAGAGAGGGAAACCAAAGAGAGCCUCUUUUCUGCAGAUUGGACCUUUAGACAUGUUUCGCCUGAUUUAUCCGUUCCUAAAGACACUGUAUGCUAAAGACACGAAAUCUGAUGAUUGUUGCUAUUGAUGAUGAUUGUCGCGUCAUGACGAUGAUGCUGUCCAGCAAUGCUUUUAAAGCGCGUUUGACAGGUCUCCUGCUCGAUUGGAAUGACAUUGACAGCAAAUUUGGAAUUCCAAUUGGAACAUUUCGUGUCUUUGCAUAUAGUGUCUUUAAUCCGUUCCUAACCGUCGCUAACCGCUGCUAACUGAGCCGCAGGCGCAAGGAAACCGAUUAGUCCGGAAUAAAACUAUCAGUAUUCGAAUAAACUCACAGUUCACUUCGGAAGAACAACGAAAUUAAAUAUUUUCAUCCUCAGGUCCGGUCCCGGAGCAUAUCUACAAUAAUCGAUUUCUUUUCAUCGACUUUCUCUUUGGUUAAUAAAUUGACCAGCAAAUCAUUUUCGGCUGUUUUUGUUGUUUUAGAUGCUAGUUCUAGUAGUCCUUUACUGAAACACGCCCAGAGAUGAUGCUGGGUCAUUAGGCCGAAGGCCAUUAGGCCGAAGGUCAUUAGGCCGAAUGGUUAUUAAGCCGAAUGGUUAUCAGGACGAAUUGAAAGUUAGCCGUUGUUUUUACCUUUUCCAACAAUUUUGUUUUAAAGAAGGAAAAAUUUAUGAAUUGAAUAUCAGCAGUUUCAGCGCCAAUAACUAUUUUAGCAAUGAUACUAGAAAGAACAGCCUAUAUUUAAAAGAAGGAGAAAUUCAUAGGUAAAAAAUCUGUAGAUUCAGCAUCAAUAAAGUAUCUUCGUGCCUGUCACACGAUACACACAUGCGAAAUGGUCAUUUGCAGAGGAAGCUCUCAGUUGAUAACUGUGGAAGUGUUCAUAGAACACUACAGUGUUGCGAAACUCAUGCUCACGAGUAAAAAAUACUCACUCACCUUACUCAUUUGUGAGUAAUGCUCACGCUGUGAGUCGCUCACGUAUGAGAGAUAAGCGGAAGUUACAUAUGUCGAUUCGGCAACGCUGUUCAUUUUGUUUGCCAACACUUGCUGCAAAGCUAGAUGUUCAAACUUUGUGCGUGACUUCGUAGUGGUUCAAGUUGUUUUGUUUACAUUUUCUAUUAUAAUUAGAUUAUAAUUUGAUUAUAUGUAAUCCUAUCAUAAUUAGGAUUUUUUUUUCAAAAUUUUGAAAAAAAAAAUAGCGGAGCAAUCGAUGAAAUCUGAAAUUUAUUGUAAAGUGUUAAGCUACAGUAUGCGGCAGGAAAAAAUGCGAAAGUGUUUUUCAACUUCAAACCUCAUUUUCGUCCAUUUGAAAUUAACCAAUCUAUGUUUCAACGUUCCAUGAUCUAUAAUAUGCUAGUUUUCUGAAAAGUAAUUAAAAAAUUUCCCAUUUUGGUCACUAACCUUUACAGGGCGGCGCCUGAAGAUGAAGACAACCAGAAUUUUCAAACCGCAGAAAAUCGCACAGGUCGCUAAAUUUCGCAUCUGAUAAAACAUUUUUUUUUUUGAUUUUCUAUACAAUAUCAUCAAAUAUAUGUACUUAUUUCAUCUGGUAUGUGAAACUACAAGGCUCUGGAUCAGUGUGGUCUGGUUGUUCAUCGAAUUUGAGCUAAUUUUGUUACUGUUAUAGUCAUUUUGUUUAAUGACCAUUGGGCGCGCAGUUUAUUGAUAUCCGCUUAUUAGGCCUACAUUAUCACAAGUUAAACAUCAAAUAUGUUCAUUUUUAUUUUUCAGUGCUAGAAUAUAGACAUUGACUGAUACACUGUCAUGAAAAAAUAGUAAUACAUAUCCAUAAUACAUAGCGUGUAAUAGUGCCUUGAACAUUUCGCAUUUUUUCCUGCCGCACCCUGUAAACAUAUCGGCAGAACUGAAGCAAGAAGCAGCAAUGAAUGUUUAUUCGAGAAGUGCAGCAACAAAAGUUUCGUCAUAAGCUUGAGCUUUUGAAAGCAGAAUUAAUUAAAUUUUAUAUUUUUACUAAACUUACAUAUACCGUCAAUUUCUCGAUAUUAAAUAUAAAUAAUUUUAAUUUAUUAAGCUCGGAUUGCAAUACCGUUCAAUCGACGCCUUCUUACGAACGAUCAGCCUGUUCAUUUGGCUCACACUUUGAUAGUUCUUUCUGCACGAUUGGCUUACAAUGGCCGCCUCCGCAGAUCUCUAUAAUGUAGGAUUACUAGCCCCAACCAGUGAACAUUCAACCAUCGAGACAGCCCAUCUAACGAGCUCUCAACGAACGAAUCGUCACUGUAGUAUAUUUGCUUUUUCUGACAAGUGAAUUUGAACUCCGUCUAAAUAAGGCUGCAUAAAACUCAAUUUCUUCCUUCUAGUGAAAGGAACUACACUAAGGUCUUUUUUACACGGCUUUUUUUACACGGUUUCGCGAAUUAACACGGUUUUUUUUUACACGGAUUCGCGAAUUAACACGGUUUUUUCAACUUUCUCGCACUAAGUGUAUAGAAGGGAACUCUUACUAAAAGGAAGAAAGGGGAUUUAUGGGAAAUUGUUGCAUGGGAUUUGAAAAGUGGUAUGAGGUGGAGGCGGAUGAUGAUGUAAGAGGUCUGCAGGAAAGGGAUGUGUUGGGGUCUGUUUGUUGAAGUGGUGGGGGGAGGGGGGGGGGGGUGAUAAUAUAUGGGGGGCUAGGAGGGGUUAAAUGGGGGGUUUCCUAAAGGUGACUUCUGGAGUAUGGUUCAGCGUCCUACAGGUCCAUGGAGCAUAGUUCUGAAGAGAAGUAAUUUUCAAGGAUAUUCUAGGGCAUCCAAGAACUUCCGCGAAUAAAGGCCUUAAGAUCUACAAGCGUAAUCGAUGGAUUGUAGUCACAUUACUGAUACGGUGCAACAUCCUACAGGUCUUUAGAUCACAGUUCUGUAGAGACGUAGUUUUCAAAGAUAUUCUAGGACCUCCAAGAACUUCCGAGAGUACAGGCCUGAAAAUCUAUGAGCGUAAUCAAUUCAUUGUUGCUAUAUUCUUGAUGCGGUGUACCAUCCUACAGAUCCAUGGAGCAUAGUUCUGAAGAGAAGUAAUUUUCAAGGAUAUUCUAGGGCAUCCAAGAACUUCCGCGAAUAAAGGCCUUAAGGUCUACAAGCGUAAUUGAUGGAUUGUAGUCACAUUACUGAUACGGUGCAACAUCCUACAGGUCUUUAGAUCACAGUUAUGUAGAGACGUAGUUUUCCAAGAUAUUCUAGGACCUCCAAGAACUUCCGCGAGUACAGGCCUGAAAAUCUACGAGCGUAAUCAAUUAAUUGUUGCUAUAUUACUGAUGCAGUAACAUCGUGCAGGUCCAUGAAGCAUAGUUCUGAAGAGAUGUUAUUUUAAGGAUAUUUUAAGACAUCCAAGAACUUCCGCGAACAAAGGUCGAUCUACAAGCGUAAUCGAUGGAUUAGUAAUGUGACUACUGAUACGGUGCAACAUCCUACAGGUUCUUACAGCAUUGUUCUGUAGAGACGUAGUUUUCAAUGACAUUCUAAGAUCUCCAAUAACUUCCGAGAGUACAGGCCUGAAAAUCUACGGGCGUAAUCAAUUAAUUGUUUCUAUAUUAUUGAUGCAGUGUAACAUCCUACAGGUCCAUGGAGCGAAUGGGUGACAAAACGUCGAAUGCCAAAACGUCGAAUGCCAGAACGUCGAAUGCCUAAACGUCGAAAGGACAAAACGUCGAAGGGACAAAACGUCGAAAGGACAAAACGUCGAAAAGUGUGUAUGUGUUCACAGUUCAGCGUGGAUUUUUUUUUUGAAUUUUUGUGUGAAUUUAAAUCGAUCCUGUUGGUAGCCUGGGAGGGGUGAUGAUACGGUAGAUCCACCAAGAUGGCAGGAUGACGAGUUGAUUAAUGGGGACACAUGAACAUUGUCUCGUUAUCUGGGGUCACUGCCCGAACGCUGAAGGUCAGUGACUCAUUUUGCACUCUAUAAUGCUUCAGUUGAAACCACUAGAUGAGUAAGUGCGAGUAAGUGCGAGGAUACUUAGCAUUGUUGUACAAGUACCAUAUUCUGUGAAUACCGGAUGAAUUGCGGAGAAGGAUAGCUAGUCAAAAUCCCGCUAUUUCAAGUAGAACUCCGGUUCUGAAUGAGGAAGACAUUCCCCUUACGUUGGGAUGGUACCGGCAAGUCGUGCCGUAAACCAAACCAGACGCCCUUGAAGGAACAAUACACCCGAUGAUCGCCAUCGCCACCCUAAAGGUGCCAGAGAUCCGGCAGACGAUAGCUAGAGGCUACCAUCGAAGCUACCCUGAAGGAAGCUGUGACGUAAUGCUGAAAAUUUGUGGAAGGAAAUUUGUGACAGUGUGCCACUCGCAGUGUUGCAUUUGAACACGAUCAAUUUGCGUUGAAGUUCAAAAACGGCACGCUGUGAUCAAACAUAUUUGAACAUUGUUCAGUUCAAAAUUUGAUCAAGAACUGCACCAGCAAAAACAUGGCACCCUGGUACCUGGUAAACUUAAAUGGUCAUGUGUCUGCCAUUUUUUCACAAAUUCUAACAAUCUUGGGUUGACUCGAUUCAGAAAGUCACCCUCUAUUGAGAAGGGGAACCAGUUCGGUCACCGUGGAUUACCAGAAAAUCCGGAUUUCGGUGCAGAAUCUUAAUGCCGGAUAUUCACGCAACAACGCAUGAUGCAGAUGCGUCACAAAGUCCUAGGGCAGCACCUUGGUCAGGACGCACAUAAGAUUUGAAGACACAUCCAAGCUCAGUUCCUUUUUGGCUCGCGUUUAGUUCAAAUGCAGCACUGGGUGCCAGUAGAAGGGGCCUCAAAGAAGUAAGAGAAGAAAAGCCGGGAAAGUUCGGAAAUAAAUAAUUUUACACUUAACGUGACGUGAUGUGAGUUUUUUAUAUACGACAGUGCGAAUAUUCCCUAUCCACGAAGAACUGGUUAAGGAACAUGCCGACCCUGAGGCUUCCCUCUGAACUAGUUGGCAGAUACAAGUGAAAUAAUGAGUAUCCUUUAAAAGAAUAAAGAACUCACUAUUUGCUUAGAUUACUCGUUUUCGACGUUUUCGACGUUUUGUCCUUUCGACGUUUUGUCCCUUUCGACGUUUUGGCAUUCGACCUUUUGGCAUUCGACGUUUUGGCAUUCGACGUUUUGUCUUUCGACGUUUUGUCCCUAAGCCCCAUGGAGCAUAGUUCUGAAGAGAAGUAAUUUUCAAGAAUAUUCUAGGGCAUCCAAGAACUUCCGCGAGUAGUGGCCUUAAAAUCUAAAAGUGUAAUCGAUGGAUUGUAGUUACAUUACUGAUACGGUGUUACAUCCUGCAUGUCCAUGGAGCAUAGUUCUGAAGAGAUGUUGUUUUCAAGGAUAUUCUAGGGCAUCCAAGAACUUCCGCGAAUAAAGGCCUUAAGAUCUACAAGCGUAAUAAAUGGAUUGUAGUCACAUUACUGAUACGGUGCAACAUCCUAAAGGUCCUUAGAGCAUAGUUUUGUAGAGACGUAGUUUUUAAAGAUAUUCUAGGACCUCCAAGAACUUCCGAGAGUUCAGGCCUGAAAACCUACGAGCGUAAUCAAUUAAUUUUUGCUAUAUUAUUGAUGCGGUGUAACAUCCUACAGUUCCAUGCAGCAUAGUUCUGUAGAAAAGAAACUUUCCAAAUAUGCUCUAGGUCAUCCAAGAAUUUCCGCGAAUAAAGAAUUCAAGAUCUACAAGCGUAAUAAAUGGAUUUUUGUUACAUUACUGAUACGGUGUAACAUCCUACAGGUCCAUGGAGCAUAUUUCUGAAGAGAUGUUAUUUUCAAGGAUAUUCUAGGGAAACCAAGAACUUCCGCGAGUAGUGGCCUUAAGAUCUACAAGCGUAAUCGAUGGAUUGUACUUACAUUACUGAUACGAUGUAACAUCCUACAGGUCUUCAGAGCAUAGUUCUGUAGAGACGUACUUUUCCAAGAUAUUCUAGGACCUCCUAGAACUUCCGCGAGUAUAUGCCUAGCAUAUUCAAUCAAUUGUUGUUACAUUACUGAUACGGUGUAAAGUCAUACAGAUUUAUUGAACACGGAGAUGUCAUUUGCAAAGAUGUUCUUUCUAGGUCAUCCAAGAACUUCCGCGAGAUAAGGUCUUAAGAUCAGAAUCAAGCAUAAUCAAUAGAUUAUUGUAAUAUAACUGAUGCGGUUCAACAUCCCACAAGUCCAUGGAGCAUGUUUUUUUCCAAUGAUAUUCUAGGUCAUCCAGAAUUUCCACGAGUGCAGAACAGUGUUAUAUCUUACAGGUCUAUGGAGCAUGGUUCUGCAGAGAAGUUACAGGGGAUAGGCAAAAUGAUCGGGACAGGCAAAAUUUUCAGUUUUCAAAAAAUUUGCUAACAGCUGUAACUUUUAGAAAGGUGCAUCAAAUGUUCUCAAAUUUUCACUGUAAAAUGAUCAACUAGUUGUGUAUCAGAGGUCCAAUUUUGGAGAAGAUCGGGCUAUUCUGCACGAAGUUAUAAAGAUUCUAGAAAAAAAAUAUCCGAAAGCCAACUAUGAGCUGUUACAUCUCCGGAUUCAAUAAACCGAAUGCAAUGAAAUUUUGACCAUUUAUGACUUAUAUAAUAUGCUCUUAAAAACGUUUGACUCAAUCUGAAAUUUUUAACAAGCAAAAAAGUUAUUGCGAUUUAAUUUAUUUUAUGAUUUUUUAGUAAACUGAUCUAUUUUUAAUAUUCAUCCCAUUACUUUUUUAUUUUAUUGUCGGCUAUGUUUAUACUUUCCUUCAAACCAAAUUUUUAUUCAGCUGGGAGAGGGAAUUCAAAUGAACUAUAAAUAGUAUCUUAAAUUUUGAAACGAUGUUGAAGUUUUUGAUAAUUUGGCGUUUUAUUAGAAAAAUAAUCUUAUCGUUAUAAUUUUCUUCGGCGGUAAAAAUUCUAUGUUUAGUCAAAGGCUUUUCAGAGCUCAUUAUAUAAGUCAUAAUUGGUCAAAAUUUCAUUGCGUUCGGUUCAUUGAAUCCGGAGAUAUAACAGCUCAAAGUUUGCUAUCGGAUAAUUAUACCGUCAAAUGGGGUAACUUGCAACACUUUUCGACUUUGAAGCAAUACCAUUGGAAAUCUAAAUAUUUGAAACAUCCUGUAAAGCAUCGUGUACGCUAAUUACCUCGAGUAGAAUACUAUGCAGCACUUGAUUUACCAAAAUACGUUGCUACCUAAUCAAGAGGUGCGAAAUACAUGCUUGUUGCAAGUUUCCCCAUCUGUGGGGUAACUUGUAACACAGGACAUGAAGCUAAGUUAGCUGUCAUUAUACAGCACUAACAUUCUAGGGCUUAGGGUAAUUCGCUAAUUGUUGAACACUACCCAAAUGUUGAACAGUUUCUGAAUAUUUUAUUAUAAAUCUUACUUUAGUAAUUUUCAUCCAACGUAAACGUAUGAUGUAGAUGCAUAUACAUAUGGGUUACGAUAUUGUUCUUAUUAAGUUACAAAGUUAUACAUAUUUUAUGUCAAAACAAUUGAUUGAAAAUUUAGUGCCGCUGAUGACACGAAAACUGCACAAUUCUUAAGAUUUAUUUUAAGAAAUUGUUGUUACGAAAUAAGCUUUGCGGGCAAAUCGAUCACAAAUAUCAAAGGCACACCAUAGUUACAAGAACUGGAAGGAUGUCCUUAACAGUUUAACAUUGUUUAAAAUCACAUUUUCAUUGUAUUUCAAUUUGAAAAUAGUUAUUUAUGCAACAAGUUGCAAAAUGAUGAUUUUUUUAGCACGAGUUGUACGUUUAUCCAACGAGGCUUGCCGAGUUGGAUAAAUACGACGAGUGCUGAAAAAAUCGAGUUUUGCAACGCGUUGCAUACAAAGUUUUUUGUAAUUGCAAAAAUUCCCGUACAGUAUAAUCUCUCUAGCCACACAAACGUGUAUCAGCAGCAACCACGUGCGAGCCUCCAUGCUCGCACGGACAGGACGUAGUGCAUAGUAUUUUCUUCGAUCAGGUAGGCUAUGGUGGGCCAACUGUCGCAAGUUUUCAAGCUCCCGUCGUCGUCAUGCAGCAUCAUGAGCAAAAGCAAAAGUAGGUUCAGCUUCUGCUUCUACACCUGAUUGGCAGUUCAAAUCAGAAUCUGAAUCGUCCUGAUUCGGAUUCGAACUGAUCAGUGCAUGUAGAAGCAGCAACUGUAUCUACGGAAGUAGCGGUACUAAACAAAAAGUGUGUGCUAGCAAAAGUGCCGAAAAGUGAUACUUUUCAGCACUCUAAAGAGUGCCGAAAAGUAGCACUUUUCGGCACCUUUGCUUCAGUGAAGAAAAGUAGGCCGUUUUAUCAUUGUUACCGCGAGUGAAAAGUAGGGGAAUUCGCAACGCAAUUACAAAAAAUAUUUUUCUUAUCACACUAUCAUUAUGCAUCCAUGAUCCAAUUGUUGAACACUGGCAUAAUCUACGAUGUUAGCAUGACUGCUAGAUUUUUUUUUUCACUUUACCUAACCGUGCAUUUCAUGGGGUUUCAAGGGCGUUCCAGGGAUGUUCUAGGAGUGUUCCAGUGGGCUUCAGAAAGAUUCCAGUGGUUUUCAAUGGGUUUCAAGGGCGUUCCAGAGUUGUUCAAGAGGAAUUCAGAGUGUUAAGGGGGUGCCAGGAGUAUUUCAAGGCGUUCCAGGAGGUUCAGGAGCAACCCACGGGUUUUCAAGGGAUUUCAGGGUAGUUCCACGAGUGUUCUUGAGGGUUGAGUGGGUCCCAUGGGUUUCCAGAAGUGUUUCAGGGGCUUUCAAAGGCAUACUUUUCUUCUGUCGUUUUCGCUUCUAAUCAAAUCUUUUCAGCCAUUUUUGCAUCUAGUCAUGUUUAAAACGUUUUCAGUCCACUGGAGUUGUUUUAAAUGAGCAAUUCCUUGCCAUUUAAAUGAAUCGUCACUAGCUCGGACUAGCUGGGCACAAAACACGAAAAACCCGGAAAAAUCCGCCAGAGUGAAAAAAUAUCGGAUGUCGGGUCAAAGUCGGGUCAAAUUUUAUCAAAUGUUUGACCACUGUUGGACUCACAUCGGAUAAUUGUUGGGUCUAUGUUGGGUUUGGUGGCCAAAAUAAAAACAGGUGAAUGAUAGGUUGAUGUCGGGUUAUACGUCAUCAAUUACGAACAAAGCUUCAACCGUUCAACAAUUGGCGAAAACCGUCCAACAUUAGGAUGAGCUAGCUCAAGGAAGCGUUCAACAUUUGGGUUACAGACUUCCCAUACAAAUGUUCUAUUUUUUCUUAGAAAAUGUAAUUUAAGGGAAUACAAAUUCAAUGGGCAGUAUAAGGGAUGAGUAGAUCUAGACGUUCGCUGGAUAUUUUUCAACUAAAGUGGAAUUAUGCACGGAAAAACAAACGAAAACCAAAAUGCCAGUACUAACCGUUCAACAAUUGGCGAAUUACCCUAGUCGUAUUGUUGAAUUUUGAUGUAAUGCAUGGAAAAUGUAUUGAAAAGAUUUACACUAACCAAUUGACAUAUAAUUUUUCAUGAAAGGGUUGAUAGCUAUUGCAAGCGAGAGUAUAUCGUUUAACAACAGGUCUCACGUCCUUAAGGACGAGGUCUCUCGUCCUUAAUUAUAAAAUGAAUAUGGAUCUUGUGACUCAGUAUUCGUAACAAAAUGUCAACAAUGAUUAUUGUCAUUUCUUGAAAAGGUAGAGUGAGUCAUCUUUAAGUAGUUUUUAGUUUGAAGUGGUGUUUGGCAAUUUCAGCUAAAAUAAACAUGAUAGAAACACACCUAUUCAACUUUGUAAAUAUCAAAAUCGUUAAUUUGGUUCAGCUGAAAUAAUUUACUCCAUCUAGGUUCAUAAUUGAUGUUGGUGAUUGUUUUAAAGCGUCCAUCAGCUAAAUUGAACUUUUGCAAGAUGAAACAUGAAUAAAACUUCAAAAUAUUGUAUUUCCUAACAAUGUUGGACGAUCACGUGCAAAAAUGGAAAAAAAAUGAAUUGUCAUUAGAAAAUGAACGCGUUACGACACGUAAUCAAUAUAUGAUCCAUUUCGGUUAUUUCUGUCAAAAUCAUCGUAAAAUGAAGAUAAAUAAUUGAAGAGUUUGUCAAAUUCAACUGUUGCAAGUUACCCCAUAAUGGUUGUCGAAUAUUAUAAUGAUUUUGGACAAUUGGACCGCAAUUCCAGAUGUAGUAUUACAACAAUGCAUUUGGAGAUUUAUUAUGCGGUGUGCUGUGCCUACAUCUGUUUUACAUCAAUAUAAAUUCUUUACCCUUAGCAGACCACCCAGCUUCAUACAGUUCAUAAAACUUCAACAUAAAUCUUUUACCGAAACCACUCGAGGUGACAGACCCGAACCAUACCCAGGUCAAUUUACAUUUCACAGCGUGAGAACACAAAUGCGAACGAACUGCAAUGUAACAGUCAGCAGUAUGCAUUCUGUUUUACUUAACCCAUUUGAUUCCUAUUAAGGCUCAAGCAUCCGUCAUCAGUUUUCGGAAAUAGAAAAACAGUUUUUUCACUAUAAAUCAAAACAAUGACCACGAAAAUGUAUUCACUGUAUUCUAUUCCUCAUGUGGAACACAAUGAAUCCAUUUUCGUUGCAAAAAUGGUUGAUUUGAACGAAAAAACUGCUUUCAAAUGUUUGAUGCUGACGAUGAUUUCAAUGACGAAUGGUUCAACGUUAACGACACACAACUAACUGACUAGCACAGCGCAACUCUAUCUGUCCCUCUCUAUAUCUCUAUAUACUUUAACGUUGAACCAUUCGUCAUUGAAAUCAUCGUCAGCAUCAAACAUUUGAAAGCAGUUUUUUCGUUCAAAUCAACCAUUUUUGCAACGAAAAUGGAUUCAUUGUGUUCCACAUGAGGAAUAGAAUACAGUGAAUACAUUUUCGUGGUCAUUGUUUUGAUUUAUAGUGAAAAAACUGUUUUUCUAUUUCCGAAAACUGAUGACGGAUGCUUGAGCCUUAAACGUGUAAGUGAGGAUCGAUACAUAUUUGAUCGAUCCCGAAAUUCAUGUAACCUAGCAAGUAAGAUUGGUUGAAAUAAAACAUUCAUUCAAAACCGAACCACCAAAGUAUCCGCUUGUGACGAUAAGUCCCCACAGCGGGAAACGUUAUUUUCGGGCGAGUGAUUUUUUGGCCGAAAGAAAUUCGAGCGUUUAUUAUUCAGGUAUUUGGAAUUCGGACGAAUGACAUUCGAGUUUUGUUUCCAAAGCAUCUCACUUUUGGAGUAUAAUGGGAUACUUGUUGAGUAUGUAUAAUCGAUAAAACUAAUUUAUCAGUCAACAACAUUUAAGUUUCGUAGCGACCAAACCCAAACAGAAAUUACCCAAUCAUCUCUCUUUUGAAUACUUUACCAAUGCGCAAAAAUAAGUCCGAAGUUGACCAAAGUUCAUAACUAUCGCAGUCGCAGUUGACAACCGGUAAACCUCAAGGAUGUUGCACCGCAUCAGUAAUGAAACAACAAUUCAUUGAUUACGCUUUCAGAGAUCCUAGGGUUCAUGGAAGUUCUUGGGAAUCAUAGAAUAUCUUUGGAAAUUAGUUCAUUACACAACAAUUCUCCAUGGACCUGUAGGAUCUUGCACAGCAUCAAUAAUAUAAUAAAAAUCCACAUAUUAUCCUUGUAGAUCUUGAGGCCUCUACUCGCGGAAGUUCUUUUAGGACUUGAAAUAUCUUCGGAGAUUUGUUCUCUUCAACUCAAUGCUCCAUGGUAUUUUAUGAUCUUGCACCGUAUAUUGCAUCUUUUGCACCGUAUUCGACCCCCUGCAAAAUUUUUUUGUCCCACCACAAUAUGUUCUCACCAGUUUUAGCAUACAUUGGUUCGUUUCGCUGCUAGAAUUUUUCAGCGUCGGUUACACUUUUUGGAUGGUGCAUGGAAUAAUCGGUUUGUUUACAUGCUACUUCCUAUGGCGUUUGACGUGUGAACAAAUAUUUCAAACGAUUGAACAUUUGCACGGUAAUCUAAGGAGCAAAGCAAGAUGCAAUAAGUAGUGUAACAACAAGGCACCGAAUACGCUAGCAAGAUGCGAUUCACCCCUGGAAGUGCUGCAGUGAAACCUUUGGCCGAAUCCAUUUCCUGCCCAUCCCUCAAAAUGUGACCUUCUAACCUCGAGCUGGCACGAGUACCAUGGCUUCCACCCAUUACUAACAGAUAUCAUUAAAAAGUUAUUACUCUGUAUAAUGUAUACUAUUAAGUACAAAGAAUGAUCCUCGGCUCCGUAAAGCGUUAUACGCGAUUGAGCCCCAAAUAAAUGAACUAGAUAAAAAAAAAUGUAGUGUAACAACAAUCCAUUGAUUAUGCUUGUAGAUCUUCAGAAAAUAGAAAAUUACUCAUGGAAGUUCUUGGAGUACCUAGAAGAUGUUCGGCAAUUAUUUCUCAACAGAACUAUGUUCCCUGGACGUUUAGGACGCUAUACUGUAUCAGUAAUGUGACAAAAAACCAUUGAUAACGCUUGUAGAUCUUCAGGUCUAUACUCGCGGAAAUUCUUGGGAACUUCCAUUGAUUGCGCUUAUAAAUUUUAAGGCCUUUACUUGUGGAAGUUCUUGGUGGUCCUAGAUCAUCUUUGAAAAUUAUUUCUCUCAGAACUAUGCUCUCUGGACCUGUAGGACGCUACACUGUAUCAGUAGUGUUGCAACAAACCAUUGAUAACGGUUGUAGAUCUUCAGGUCUUUACUCGUGGACGUUCUUAGAGGACCUAGAACAUCUACGGAAAUUAGAUCCUUACAGAAAAAAUGUUCAUGGACCUGUAGCAUGUUACAACGUAUUAGAAAUGUAACAACAAUCCAUUGAUUACGCUUGUUGAUCUUAAGGCCUUUACUCGUGGAAGUUCUUGGAGGUCCUAGAUCAUCUUUGGAAAUUAUAUCUCUACAGAACUAUGCUCCCUGGACCUGUAGGACGCUACACUAUAUCAGUAAUGUGACAACACACCAUUGAUAACGUUUGUAGAUCUUAAGGCAUUUACUCGCAGAAGUUCUUGGAGGUCCAAGAUCAUUUUUGGAAAUUAUAUCUCUAAAGACCUAUGCUCCCUGGACCUGUAGGACGCUACACUGCAUUAGUAAUGUGACAACAAACAAUUGAUAAGGCUUGUAGAUAUUCAGGUGUUUACUCAUGGAAGUUCUUGGAGAUCCUAGAUCAUCUUUGGAAAUUAGUUCUCUACAGAACUAUGCUCAUUGGACCUGUAGGAUGCUACACUAUAUCAGUAAUGUGGCAACACAUCAUUGAUAACGUUUGUAGAUCUUAUGGCCUUUACUCACGGGAGUUCUUGGAGGUCCUAAAUCAUUUUUGGAAAUAAUUUCUCUAAAGACCUAUGCUCCCUGGACCUGUAGGACGCUACACUGUAUUAGUAAUGUGACAACAAACCAUUGAUAACGCUUGUAGAUAUUCAGGUCUUUACUCAUGGAAGUUCUUGGAGAUCCUAGAUCUCUCUCUCUCUCUUCUUGGCGUAACAUCCUCAUUGGGACAAAGCCUGCUUCUCAGCUUAGUGUUCUAUGAGCACUUCCACAGUUAUUAACUGAGAGCUUCCUCUGCCAAUGACCAUUUUGCAUGCGUAUAUCGUGUGGCAGGCACGAAGAUACUCUAUGCUCAAGGAAGUCAAGGAAAUUCAAGGAGAUCCUAGAUCAUCUUUGGAAAUUAUUUCUAUACAGAAAAAUGGUUCAUGGACCUGUAGCAUUCUACAACGUAUUAGAAAUGUAACAACAAUCCAUUGAUUACGCUUGUAGAUCUUAAGGCCGUUACUCGCGGAAGUUCUUGGAUGUCCUAGAUCAUCUUUGGAAAUUAUUUCUCUACAGAACUUUUCUCCCUGGACCUGUAGGACGCUACACUGUAUCAGUUAUGUGACAACAAACCAUUGAUAACACUCGUAGACCUUCAGGUCUUUACUCUUGGAGGACCUAGAACAUCUGUGGAAUUCAGUUUCUUACAGAAAAAUUGUUCAUGAACCUGUAGCAUGUUACAACGUAUUAGAAAUGUAACAACAAUCCAUUGAUUACGCUUGUAGUUCUUAAGGCCUUAACUCGCGGAAGUUCAUGGAAGACCUAGCAUAUCUUUAGAAAUGAAUACUCUUCAGUACAAUGCUCAUUGGACAUCUGUGAUGUUACAACGUAUCGAAAAUGUAGCAAGAAACAAUUGGCUAUGUUUGUAGAUCUUGUGGCCUUUACUCGCGGAAGUUCUUGGAGAUCAAAAUUGGAGGUCAAGUUUGAAUAUUAUUUGUUUACAGAAUAAUGCUCCGUAGACCUGUAAUGACCCAAAAUAUCCUUUGCGAUCUUCCUUUGAAACAGUAUGCACUCUGCUCCCCAUAACCCAUCCCUUGUCCCCUUCCCCACUAACCCCUAGAUUCAACCCACUACCUGCAGCACCCCCUCCCCCCCCCACUUUCCUUAUUAACUCUCUAACACAAACCUCGAAUAUCUGAAGGUGAGGUCAUUUCAAAUAUUUUCAGAUUUCCCUCAGUUUUUUUUACACGGAUUCCCGAAUUAGCACGGUAUUUUUUUACACGGUUUCUGAAAUUAACACGGUUUUUUACACGAUUUCGCGAAUUAACACGGUUUGUUUUUACACGGUUUCGCGAAUUGAAACGGUUUUUUUACACGGGACUAUCCCCCGUGUAAAAAAAAGACCUUAGUGUAUAGUAGUUUUUGAGGGGUUUACGUUUAAGCCCUCUUUCCUACACCAUUCUAGCGUAAUAUUGAGCGCAAAUUGUAGCCGAUUAGAGAUCGUGUCAUUGAAUUUCCCACGUACAAUAAUGGUCACAUCAUCUGCAUAUCCAAUGAUCUCAAACCUUGAUCAGCUACCUUUUUAAGGAGUUCGUCUACUACCAAAGACCACAUAGUAAGGGCGAUAAUACUCCGCCUUGAGGACAGCCCUUCAUUGAUCUAACAGAUAGUUGGGCACCUCCAAGAUCAGCAGAAAUUUCCCGAUUUUUCAGCAUAGCCAUUAUUUAUUCUAUUAUGCAUUUAUCCAACCCUCUAGCUUCCAAUGCUGAACGCAUUGAGCUUUAGGAUGCAUUAUCGAAUGCUCCUUCGAUAUCGAGAAAGGCAGCAAUUUCCUUGGCUUGAAGCGAUUGCAAUUUGCAAUUUGCUAAGUGGCAUCUCUACUAAGCUGGUUGACUUGAUAAAGUCAUCCAAUAUCUUUUCCAUUGUUUUCAAUAGAACUGAGGAAAGGCUUAUCGGUCUGAAAGCUUUUGGAGUUGUUAUAUCCCUUUUGCCAGCUUUCGGAAUAAACACAACUCGAACCUUCCUCCAUGCUUUAAGUAUGUCGACCAUACAUGUCUUGCCUCGUCUGAGUCCUGCUCAUCAUUCAAAUAAGGAAUCGUUCCUGGAAAGUGAGUUCUUAUCAUUACUUCCAACUUUCGAGAUGAACCAGCCGAGGGCUGAAAAUCUCGAUAAUAAAGAAAAAUAAUAAUAAUAAUAAUUACUUUCAACGUUUCCGAAGAAUCAACGGUAAAGCUUCCAUCUUUUUUUUAAGGCUGCCAAGCCCAUUCGAAUGGUCCUUAGAAAGGACUUUAUGUAACCUUGCAGUUGUAGGGGCGUUGUUAAUCUCUUCACAUACCCUCUUCCAAUCCUUUCGUUUGGCUUGCCUUAUUUCUUUGUUAUAUUCUGAUAGGACCUUUUUAUAUACAUCUCAGUCAGAAGUAACUUUCGCUCUGUUAAAUAAACGUCUAGAUUUCUUUCUCAAUUCCGCCAGCCUGUUGUUCCACCAAGAUACAUCCCUGUUUGAUGACCUAUGUUGAACAGGACAGCUGGCAUGAUACAAUGAGACCAAUUUGUUUCCAAUUUCAUCAGAGACGCCUUCCAAAUGUGAAACCGAAGUAAUUUGCUCUCAAUUAUAAGAAUGGUAUCUUAGACUUUUUAGCCAAACUAACCUGAAAAUAAUGUUAAAUAGAACUAUCUUUGAUAGUGUGGACAAGAACCUAUCAAGUUCAACAUUAUUAGAAUGCGCUUUGGAAAUUCUCCAGAGCGUCUUAGACAACCCUUCAUAUAUAGGAUCGCCCACGUCUAAGUCCGAGUCAAGGUCUGAGUAGUCUCUGAUUGCAUUAACAGCACAGCAAUAAAAAUCUUGUGAUAUCACAUCAUUUUUGCUGCACAUCAGUCGCCUCGUGAAAGUGAUGUACAGAUUACAUUCUUUUCACGCAGCAAAUUAGUCGCUUUAGAGUGGGUCUAGCAAUCGCUAGAACCGAAUCGAUAGAUGAAUCAUAUAUAAGUAAAAUAUUGGCAUGGAUUCGUAUACGGAUCCGUUGAUUGUGAGUCAUCCUUACCUUACCUCUCGGCUAUUUCACAGAGUUAGAAGGUGGGUGAUAAAUAAGAUACUGCUUCUAGGUAUCUGCUGGAAUGGGUUUGUUGACACUUUCCGGUGUCAACCAGGGUGUACAUGGUGAGUGUGUGAUAAUUGUUGGAAAACGACGUUGCCGAAUGAAAUUACGUUCGAAAUUGGAUACGUCGCCAAAAAUUACGCGACUGGAUAUUACAAUAUUAUUUGCUGUGAAUUGAAGCUCAGGCUCCAAUGCCCCACCAGGCAGAUAACUGGGUUUCGCAAACUAAGCAUUAUUUGUGGCAACACUUUGAGCGGCAUGAUGGAACUAUGACGAGCGCGCUAAGUGUUAUUAGACCAAUAAUAUAGUUGCAUGGAGUGGGUGACGAGGUACAUUACAGCGUGCAAACCGUUAUUGCUAUAAUGAGGCUUCAGUUUGACUAAAGUUUGAAAUACAUAACAGCUCAUGAGAAAACUGUCAAUUUCGAUUCAAUUAUAAAUAUAAAUAUUAAGUUAGGUUAAAAAUCGAACCCGCAGACGAACCUAUAUUAGAAGUCGUUUCAGUGUCCAGUACAUAUGUUAAAGAUGGCUCUACGUCAAAGAUAAAUUUCGUCAAUCGCAUUUGAUUCGGUUGUGGUCGAAGGCAAGUUCACAUGAGAGAAGGGGAGAAAAAUCCCCUAGAUGCAAAUACAGAAAGAAUAGUGUUGAACUCAUCCACUGAUUUACGGUAAUCUGACCUGCGUGUUUCCGAGUUGACCAACAUUCUUAUUCCUCUCAUCGCACUCUACUAACCUAGCCCGCCAUAUCUCUUGGAUCUGAAGUCCUUUGGGCACCUGGUUAACCACUUAUUUAAACAUUUUAAAUAUUGACUUUAAAUUGAUGGUUCAACUUAUUCACAUUUUUCUCAUUCUUUCCUUUGCAAAAAUAAGUCCCGAACAUCAACAAAACAAAGCAAGGAAAAAAUCUAAAACUGAAUAAAUAAUUAAAACUUCACGGAAAAAUAAUAUUUCGGAAAAGUGAAUGGUUCAAACGUAAGAAAAACAGUAUAAUAUAUUGUUACAUAAAGAUCGGAUGUAAAUGUAUAGUACCGUCGAUGGGGGUGACAAUGGGUCUGGGGGUGAGAUUGGGUCAAAACGGAAAAACAUAAAAUUUGAAAUAGCUUAUCAACUAUGGCUAAUUUAUAUUGAAAACUUUAUAUUAUUUCAAAGAGGAGAUGUUUUUACACGUCAUGAUGCAAAAAAAGAUGUUUAGCAAUAAUUGUUUUUUGUUCAAAUUGUGGCUAAACUUAUAUGAUGAAACUACUAGUAAAUCACUCUGAAAAAAUUUCUCCUUCGCAAUGUUUCACACAAGCACCUAACCAUAAAUUUUCUUAUAAGUAGUUAGCUGUAGGUAUUACCUGGUUUAUGCAACGAAAAAAGUGGGCUGUCAAUGUACUUAAAAAAAAAAUCAAUAUUUUCGACCCUAUGUCUAAAUAUUAAAAAUGGGGGUGAGAUUGGGUCAAGCAAGUUAUCAAGUGCACAUAACCUUAACUAAAAAUUCAACUUGUUAUCCAGUCCCCAUUUGAUGUUAGAGUGGUGCCAUGUUUACCGUAUCUUCAUAAAAGUACGUUUUUUUUUCGAAAAUAUGUCGCAGAAGUGUCAAGCGAGUGUGUUCAUACGUUUAGUACCUAAAAUCAUUUAUAACAAUAAACAUGGACAUGGACAGCUCAUCUAAUCAUCAUCUAACGUUUAGUGUACUGAAAUAUCGUAAGCUCACAAAAUAGACUUAAAAACGUUCUCCUUCUCCACUCAUUUUUGAAAUUUUAAGGAAGUAUCCUGAAACUACCAGACAGUAGUGGGAUUCAGGAAAUACAGGGGCUAUAAAACCGGUGACAUAGUACAAUGUCGGAAAGUGAAUGAAUGUCGCAUUUUGGGUUGGUUAAACAUUUCUCAUGCAAUCUUUCAAUGCGUCCCUCUCUUAUUGUAAUCCCCUCCCCUCCUCUCAUGGAGGUUGAAACUUUGAAUGAGGAUGAUUA
Molecule: long non-coding RNA, 28135 nt
Organism: Aedes albopictus (Asian tiger mosquito)
Lineage: Eukaryota; Metazoa; Arthropoda; Insecta; Diptera; Culicidae
Exons: 2
Source: RefSeq, a predicted model, not a curated record